This 755-nucleotide ribosomal RNA is filed under the name Salmonella enterica. RNAcentral's name for it is "partial 23S ribosomal RNA". It matches the Rfam family "Bacterial large subunit ribosomal RNA", at positions 1154 to 1865 of the family's 2925-position model. Lineage: Bacteria; Pseudomonadati; Pseudomonadota; Gammaproteobacteria; Enterobacterales; Enterobacteriaceae. The record is from RNAcentral.
CGUAUCACCCAAGACAACUUUACGGAGUUGACGAUUGACGGAGCGAAGCGACGUCAAAGCGUUCAUUAAAGUCGAGUUGGCUUAGGGAUACGUUCGUUGGGUAGGGGAGCGUUCUGUAAGCCUGUGAAGGUGUGUCGUGAGGCAUGCUGGAGGUAUCAGAAGUGCGAAUGCUGACAUAAGUAACGAUAAAGCGGGUGAAAAGCCCGCUCGCCGGAAGACCAAGGGUUCCUGUCCAACGUUAAUCGGGGCAGGGUGAGUCGACCCCUAAGGCGAGGCCGAAAGGCGUAGUCGAUGGGAAACGGGUUAAUAUUCCCGUACUUGGUGUUACUGCGAAGGGGGGACGGAGAAGGCUAUGUUGGCCGGGCGACGGUUGUCCCGGUUUAAGCGUGUAGGUGUGUGUUCCAGGUAAAUCCGGUUCACUUUAACACUGAGGCGUGACGACGAGGCACUACGGUGCUGAAGCAACAAAUGCCCUGCUUCCAGGAAAAGCCUCUAAGCAUCAGGUAACAUCAAAUCGUACCCCAAACCGACACAGGUGGUCAGGUAGAGAAUACCAAGGCGCUUGAGAGAACUCGGGUGAAGGAACUAGGCAAAAUGGUGCCGUAACUUCGGGAGAAGGCACGCUGACACGUAGGUGAAGUGAUUUACUCAUGGAGCUGAAGUCAGUCGAAGAUACCAGCUGGCUGCAACUGUUUAUUAAAAACACAGCACUGUGCAAACACGAAAGUGGACGUAUACGGUGUGACGCCUGCCCG